RNAcentral lists this ribosomal RNA (404 nucleotides) under uncultured bacterium. Its description in RNAcentral is "bacterial SSU rRNA". It matches the Rfam family "Bacterial small subunit ribosomal RNA", at positions 355 to 775 of the family's 1533-position model. The record is from RNAcentral.
UAAGGAAUAUUGCACAAUGGGCGAAAGCCUGAUGCAGCAACGCCGCGUGCGCGAUGAAGGCCUUCGGGUUGUAAAGCGCUUUUCUGGGGGAAGAGAAGGGACGGUACCUCAGGAAUAAGUCUCGGCUAACUACGUGCCAGCAGCCGCGGUAACACGUAGGAGACAAGCGUUAUCCGGAUUUAUUGGGCGUAAAGGGCAUGUAGGCGGGUUCUUAAGUCGGAUGUGAAAUCUCUUGGCUUAACCGGGAGGGGUCAUUCGAUACUGGGAACCUUGAGGGCAGGAGAGGGAAGCAGAAUUCCCGGUGUAGUGGUGGAAUACGUAGAUAUCGGGAGGAAUACCAGUGGCGAAGGCGGCUUCCUGGCCUGUGCCUGACGCUGAUAUGCGAAAGCGUGGGUAGCAAACGG